GACGAACGCUGGCGGCGUGCUUAACACAUGCAAGUCGAACGGAAAGGCCCUGCUUUUGUGGGGUUCUCGAGUGGCGAGCGGGUGAGUAACACGUGAGUAACCUGCCCUUGUCUUUGGGAUAACUUCAGGAAACUGCGGCUAAUACCGGAUAGGAUCUCCUGCUGCGUGGUGGGGGUUGGAAAGUGUCGGCGGUUGGGGAUGGACUAGAGGCUUAUCAGCUUGUUGGUGUGGUAGUGGCUUACCAAGGCUUUGACGGGUAGCCGGCCUGAGAGCGGGGCCGGCCACCAUGGGACUGCGAGACGCACCAGAAGGGUAUGUGCGGCAGUAGUGGGGAGUCUGGCGGAAUGGGCGGAAGUGUGAUGCAGCAACGCUCGGUUCGUGAUAACGGCUUAUGGGUGGUAAACCGAUUUGGAAGGUGCCGAGGCGUGCGUGACGGUAACGGGUAAAGAAGCAACGGCUAACUACGUG
Molecule: ribosomal RNA, 468 nt
Filed under: uncultured bacterium
Lineage: Bacteria
Description: partial 16S ribosomal RNA
Rfam family: Bacterial small subunit ribosomal RNA
Source: RNAcentral